This 864-nucleotide ribosomal RNA is filed under the name uncultured Chloroflexota bacterium. RNAcentral describes it as "bacterial SSU rRNA". It matches the Rfam family "Bacterial small subunit ribosomal RNA", at positions 498 to 1372 of the family's 1533-position model. The record is from RNAcentral. Lineage: Bacteria; Bacillati; Chloroflexota.
CGCCCUUGUGCCAGCCGCCGCGGUAACACGUAGGAGGCAAACGUUAUCCGGAUUUACUGGGCGUAAAGCGCGUGUAGGUGGUUUGGUAAGUAGGGCGUGAAAGCUCCUGGCUCAACUGGGAGAGGACGUUCUAAACUGCCAAGCUUGAGGAUGGUAGAGGGAGGUGGAAUUCCGGGUGUAGCGGUGGAAUGCGCAGAUAUCCGGAGGAACACCAGUGGCGAAGGCGGCCUCCUGGACCACUCCUGACACUCAGACGCGAAAGCUAGGGUAGCAAACGGGAUUAGAGACCCCGGUAGUCCUAGCCCUAAACGAUGUAGACUUGGCGUCGGUGGUUUAAUCGCCAUCGGUGUCGUAGCUAACGCGAUAAGUCUACCGCCUGGGGACUACGGCCGCAAGGUUAAAACUCAAAGGAAUUGACGGGUCCCCGCACAAGCAGCGGAGCGUGUGGUUUAAUUCGAUGCUACACGAAGAACCUUACCUGGGUUUGACAUAGAGGUAGUAGGGAAGCGAAAGCGGACCGACCCUUCGGGGAGCCUCUACAGGUGUUGCAUGGCUGUCGUCAGCUCGUGUCGUGAGAUGUUCGGUUAAGUCCGCUAACGAGCGCAACCCUCGCUGUGUGUUACAAGUGUCACACGGUACUGCCGAUAUUAAGUCGGAGGAAGGUGGGGGAUGACGUCAAGUCAGCAUGACCUUUAUAUCCAGGGCUACACACACGCUACAAUGGCCAGUACAAUGGGUUGCCAAGCCGCGAGGCGGAGCCAUCCUAAAAAGCUGGCCUCAGUUCAGAUUGCAGGUCUGCAACUCGACUGCAUGAAGUUGGAGUUGCUAGUAACCGCAGGUCAGCAAUACUGCGGUGAAUACGUU